GAUGAACGCUAGCGGCAGGCCUAAUACAUGCAAGCCGGACGGCAAGUUGAGUAGCAAUACUUGACCUAGAGUGGCGUAAGGGUGCGUAACACGUAUGCAAUCUGCCCACAGCCGGGAGAUAGCCCUCCGAAAGGAGGAUUAACAUCCCAUAGGAAGAUGAGAUGGCAUCAUUUUAUUUUAAACUACGGGGCUGUGGAUGAGCAUGCGGUUGAUUAGCUAGUUGGCGGGGUAAAGGCCCACCAAGGCGAUGAUCAAUAGGGGACCUGAGAGGGUGAUCCCCCACACUGGCACUGAGAUACGGGCCAGACUCCUACGGGAGGCAGCAGUAGGGAAUAUUGGACAAUGGGUGUAAGCCUGAUCCAGCCAUGCCGCGUGCAGGAAGAAGGCCUUCUGGGUUGUAAACUGCUUUUG
Molecule: ribosomal RNA, 411 nt
Filed under: uncultured bacterium
Lineage: Bacteria
Description: bacterial SSU rRNA
Rfam family: Bacterial small subunit ribosomal RNA
Source: RNAcentral